GAGAGAAUCCUAAGGUGAGCGAGAGAACUCUCGUUAAGGAACUCGGCAAAAUGACCCCGUAACUUCGGGAGAAGGGGUGCUCUAUUAGGGUGCAAGCCCGAGAGAGCCGCAGUGAAUAGGCCCAGGCGACUGUUUAGCAAAAACACAGGUCUCUGCAAAACCGUAAGGUGACGUAUAGGGGCUGACGCCUGCCCGGUGCUGGAAGGUUAAGAGGAGUGCUUAGCUUCGGCGAAGGUACGAAUUGAAGCCCCAGUAAACGGCGGCCGUAACUAUAACGGUCCUAAGGUAGCGAAAUUCCUUGUCGGGUAAGUUCCGACCCGCACGAAAGGCGCAACGAUCUGGGCACUGUCUCAACGAGAGACUCGGUGAAAUUAUAGUACCUGUGAAGAUGCAGGUUACCCGCGACAGGACGGAAAGACCCCGUGGAGCUUUACUGCAACCUGAUAUGGAAUGUUUGUACCGCUUGUACAGGAUAGGUAGGAGCCGAAGAGACGUGUGCGCUAGCAUACGAGGAGGCAAUGGUGGGAUACUACCCUGGCUGUAUGACCAUUCUAACCCGCCACGCUUAGCGCGUGGGGAGACAGUGUCAGGUGGGCAGUUUGACUGGGGCGGUCGCCUCCUAAAGAGUAACGGAGGCGCCCAAAGGUUCCCUCAGAAUGGAUGGAAAUCAUUCGCAGAGUGUA
This 683-nucleotide ribosomal RNA is filed under the name Listeria monocytogenes. RNAcentral's name for it is "partial 23S ribosomal RNA". It matches the Rfam family "Bacterial large subunit ribosomal RNA", at positions 1672 to 2353 of the family's 2925-position model. The record is from RNAcentral. Lineage: Bacteria; Bacillati; Bacillota; Bacilli; Caryophanales; Listeriaceae.